CGGAGUUAGUCUUUCAGAGCUUUGGUUUCUUCUAUUCAGAGCUUUGUGAUUCUUUGUUGGCAUGGGCGCCUUUAUGUGUUUGUUUAUUUUGUGACGUGCUUCUUACCUCUUAAGCUGGUGGUUGUGCUUCUGGUGCUUUAGGCAUGUGUCGUCUUGUUUCGUGGUAACUUUGUUCAUCCGAUGAUUAUUCUUUCUCUAACCCGUUAUUUUUUUUGCUUUUUGCGAAGGUGCUUGAUCGUGAUCCUUUGUGUUCUAGAGAUUGUUUUGUCUUAUAUUUUAUCAUUUUACCUUUUUCUGACAUCUAUUUGUUCUAAUCAAGACAUUAUAUGGUAAGAUGAGAUAAAUUAGUCUUCUUUGUUGAUAUAUUUUCAGCUCCAAACCUUUAUUAA
This 389-nucleotide long non-coding RNA is filed under the name Brassica napus (rape). Its description in RNAcentral is "long non-coding RNA (BNAP_LNC023401)". The record is from RNAcentral. Lineage: Eukaryota; Viridiplantae; Streptophyta; Magnoliopsida; Brassicales; Brassicaceae.